Molecule: long non-coding RNA, 807 nt
Filed under: Lathyrus oleraceus (garden pea)
Lineage: Eukaryota; Viridiplantae; Streptophyta; Magnoliopsida; Fabales; Fabaceae
Description: Pisum sativum (pea) long non-coding RNA (PSAT_LNC037084)
Source: RNAcentral
GCUUUUGCUGCUCAGAAACGAGUUUAGCCUGUUUUACGCUAUAAUCCGGAACUGGUACCACGAACUCCUUCUUUCUCUUUGAAUUUGUCUUUAUCCCGAUUUGGGAAAUUUUGGAUUCUUACUGUUUGGCUGUUAAUCUUUUGUUACUGCAGUGAAAUGGUUGCAAUGGUGAAAACGUGAGGAGCUUCGGUGGUCAAUGGAUCUAAAGCAUGCUGAGUUCCAAGUGUGAGUGUGUUCUCUUUGGGUUGAGAAUCGGUGAGCUACCUCAGCACACAGCUGUUUCGGUAAAGGGGUUGACAACAUGGUAGUAUGAAGCAUUGAAGCAUUCAGGACAUUACCUUUCUCAUUCAGAACCGAUGAAGCGACCAAAUCAUCUUUGAAGAAGUUCAAACCAGCAUUAAACUUAGUUAAUUCGCCCGUUUUUGUGUCGUAAGAAAGAUCGUGACCGAGAGCAAUUACAUUAGUUCCAAAGACACCAGAGAGGUCGACAAUUGGGUUUGCUGUUGGUUUCAGUCCAAGAACCGAAUAAAUCAAACCUUCCAAUAUGAGGUAAGUUUCUACCGGUUCGUAAUUUCUUAAGUUCUUACUGGUUUGUAAUCCUUCCUAAGUUUCUACUGGUUUGGUAGGCUCAAGACAAGAACACAACAUCUUUUCUGAAGUCAACGGUUCAGGAUUUGUUUGCCUUUUUAAGAUUCAAGAAGCUUUUCUUAGGUUUAUACUCAUCGUCUUUUUCCAAAUCUGUUUCAGGUAGCGGUAUUGUAGCAGAAAUACUGCAGUUUGAAUCUCGGGCUGCGGCGGCUAGAGGAA